Molecule: ribosomal RNA, 445 nt
Filed under: uncultured bacterium
Lineage: Bacteria
Description: partial 16S ribosomal RNA
Rfam family: Bacterial small subunit ribosomal RNA
Source: RNAcentral
GUAAGGAAUAUUGGUCAAUGGACGAAAGUCUGAACCAGCCAUGCCGCGUGGAGGAUGAAGGUCCUCUGGAUUGUAAACUUCUUUUAUAUGGGACGAAAAAAGGCUUUUCUAAGUCGUCUGACGGUACCAUAUGAAUAAGCACCGGCUAACUCCGUGCCAGCAGCCGCGGUCAUACGGAGGGUGCAAGCGUUAUCCGGAUUCACUGGGUUUAAAGGGUGCGUAGGUGGAUUGGCAAGUCCGUGGUGAAAUCUUCGAGCUUAACUCGGAAACUGCCAUGGAUACUGGUGAUCUUGAAUAUCGUGGAGGUUAGCAGAAUAUGUCAUGUAGCGGUGAAAUGCUUAGAUAUGACAUAGAACACCAAUUGCGAAGGCAGCUGGCUACGCGAAUAUUGACACUCAGGCACGAAAGCGUGGGGAUCAAACAGGAUUAGAUACCCGUGUAGUCC